Mustela putorius furo (domestic ferret) is the source of this 144-nucleotide small nuclear RNA. Its record names the gene U1. It matches the Rfam family "U1 spliceosomal RNA". Rfam says of the family: U1 is a small nuclear RNA (snRNA) component of the spliceosome (involved in pre-mRNA splicing). Its 5' end forms complementary base pairs with the 5' splice junction, thus defining the 5' donor site of an intron. NCBI's taxonomy places the organism in Eukaryota, Metazoa, Chordata, Mammalia, Carnivora, Mustelidae. The record is from Ensembl.
UUAAUUACCUGGAAGGGGAGAUACCAUGAUCACGAAGGUGGUUUUCCCAGGGCGAGGCUUAUCCAUUGCACUGCAGAUGUGCUGACCCCUGCGAUUUCCCCAACUGCAUAAUUCGUGGAAGUGGGUGACCGCAUUCAUGCUUUA